AGGGGUGAAUACAUAUGUAAAGGGAGUGAAUACAUAUGCAAAGGAUGUGAAUACAUAUGUAAAGGGAGUGAAUACAUAUGCAAAGGGAGUGAAUACAUAUGUAAAGGGGGUGAAUACAUAUGUAAAGGGAGUGAAUACAUAUGUAAAGGGAGUGAAUACAUAUGCAAAGGGAGUGAAUACAUAUGUAAAGGGGGUGAAUACAUAUGUAAAGGGAGUGAAUACAUAUGCAAAGGGAGUGAAUACAUAUGUAAAGGGGGUGAAUACAUAUGCAAAGGGAGUGAAUACAUAUGUAAAGGGGUGAAUACAUAUGUAAAGGGAGUGAAUACAUAUGCAAAGGAUGUGAAUACAUAUGUAAAGGGAGUGAAUACAUAUGUAAAGGGAGUGAAUACAUAUACAAAGGGAGUGAAUACAUAUGUAAAGGGGGUGAAUACAUAUGUAAAGGGAGUGAAUACAUAUGUAAAGGGGGUGAAUACAUAUGUAAAGGGAGUGAAUACAUAUGCAAAGGGAGUGAAUACAUAUGUAAAGGGAGUGAAUACAUAUGUAAAGGGAGUGAAUACAUAUGUAAAGGAGGUGAAUACAUAUGUAAAGGGAGUGAAUACAUAUGUAAAGGGAGUGAAUACAUUUGUAAAGGGAGUGAAUACAUAUGCAAAGGGGGUGAAUACAUAUGCAAAGGGGGUGAAUACAUAUGUAAAGGGAGUGAAUACAUAUGCAAAGGGAGUGAAUACAUAUGUAAAGGGAGUGAAUACAUAUGUAAAGGGAGUGAAUACAUAUGUAAAGGGAGUGAAUACAUAUGUAAAGGAGGUGAAUACAUAUGUAAAGGGAGUGAAUACAUAUGUAAAUGGGGUGAAUACAUAUGUAAAGGAGGUGAAUACAUAUGUAAAGGGAGUGAAUACAUAUGUAAAGGGGGUGAAUACAUAUGUAAAGGGGGUGAAUACAUAUGUAAAGGGGGUGAAUACAUAUGUAAAGGGAGUGAAUACAUAUGUAAAGGGGGUGAAUACAUAUGUAAAGGAGGUGAAUACAUAUGUAAAGGAGGUGAAUACAUAUGUAAAGGAGGUGAAUACAUAUGUAAAGGGGGUGAAUACAUAUGCAAAGGGAGUGAAUACAUAUGUAAAGGAGGUGAAUACAUAUGUAAAGGAGGUGAAUACAUAUGUAAAGGGGGUGAUUACAUAUGUAAAGGGAGUGAAUACAUAUGUAAAGGGAGUGAAUACAUAUGUAAAGGGAGUGAAUACAUAUGUAAAGGGAGUGAAUACAUAUGUAAAGGGAGUGAAUACAUAUGUAAAGGGAGUGAAUACAUAUGUAAAGGGAGUGAAUACAUAUGUAAAGGGGGUGAAUACAUAUGUAAAGGGGGUGAAUACAUAUGUAAAGGGAGUGAAUACAUAUGUAAAGGGAGUGAAUACAUAUGUAAAGGGAGUGAAUACAUAUGUAAAGGGAGUGAAUACAUAUGUAAAGGAGGUGAAUACAUAUGUAAAGGAGGUGAAUACAUAUGUAAAGGGGGUGAAUACAUAUGCAAAGGGAGUGAAUACAUAUGUAAAGGAGGUGAAUACAUAUGUAAAGGGAGUGAAUACAUAUGCAAAGGAGGUGAAUACAUAUGUAAAAGGGGGUGAAUACAUAUGCAAAGGGGGUGAAUACAUAUGUAAAGGGGGUGAAUACAUAUGUAAAGGGGGUGAAUACAUAUGUAAAGGGAGUGAAUACAUAUGUAAAGGGAGUGAAUACAUAUGUAAAGGGGUGAAUACAUAUGUAAAGGGGGUGAAUACAUAUGUAAAGGGGUGAAUACAUAUGUAAAGGAGGUGAAUACAUAUGUAAAGGGAGUGAAUACAUAUGUAAAGGGGGUGAAUACAUAUGCAAAGGGAGUGAAUACAUAUGCAAAGGGGGUGAAUACAUAUGUAAAGGGGGUGAAUACAUAUGCAAAGGGAGUGAAUACAUAUGUAAAGGAGGUGAAUACAUAUGUAAAGGGAGUGAAUACAUAUGCAAAGGAAGUGAAUACAUAUGUAAAGGAGGUGAAUACAUAUGUAAAGGGAGUGAAUACAUAUGUAAAGGGGGUGAAUACAUAUGUAAAGGGGGUGAAUACAUAUGUAAAGGGAGUGAAUACAUAUGUAAAGGGAGUGAAUACAUAUGUAAAGGGAGUGAAUACAUAUGCAAAGGGAGUGAAUACAUAUGUAAAGGGGGUGAAUACAUAUGUAAAGGGGGUGAAUACAUAUGUAAAGGGGGUGAAUACAUAUGUAAAGGGAGUGAAUACAUAUGGAAAGGGAGUGAAUACAUAUGUAAAGGGGGUGAAUACAUAUGCAAAGGGGUGAAUACAUAUGCAAAGGGGUGAAUACAUAUGCAAAGGGGGUGAAUACAUAUGCAAAGGGGGUGAAUACAUAUGCAAAGGGAGUGAAUACAUAUGUAAAGUGGGUGAAUACAUAUGUAAAGGGAGUGAAUACAUAUGUAAAGGGAGUGAAUACAUAUGUAAAGGAGGUGAAUACAUAUGCAAAGGGAGUGAAUACAUAUGUAAAGUGGGUGAAUACAUAUGUAAAGGGAGUGAAUACAUAUGUAAAGGGGGUGAAUACAUAUGUAA
Oncorhynchus mykiss (rainbow trout) is the source of this 2557-nucleotide long non-coding RNA. Lineage: Eukaryota; Metazoa; Chordata; Actinopteri; Salmoniformes; Salmonidae. The record is from Ensembl.